UUACAGCUUUUUGUGCUUCACGUAAUUUUUCCAACAUCAUUGUUGCAACAUCGUUGAGGGUAUGUUUUUUUAUGUAAUUUUGAAUAUUAAAUUUUGAACUGAUCUAUUCUAAUUCUCGCUUUAUGUUUCAGCCUAAUCAGAGUUGUAUAAAAUUCAAACAAUCAGUUGCGGGUUAUUUUAGUGGGAAAUUCUUCUGCACUGUUCUUGAAGUCUGAAGUGCAGAAAGUAGAGUGCUUCAUGAAGCCCCAAUGCUGUUCUAGGUUUUCUUGUAUUUAUUGUCACUGAUGAUGUCGAUUUUAUAUAUUAGUUCUUCAAUCAGCCUAAUUAUCAGCCUUUUAUAGUGUUUAAAAUGCAUCUUUAUGAUAAAUGAAGAAGUUAAUGGUAAUUAUGAUAGCCUGUUUUUUAAAUUUAUUUUUCUUCUUUUGAUUUCUUGAUAUUUAAAUUUUUAGUUUUCCCAUGAAAACUUAUUUUUGAAAGGCUUU
Molecule: long non-coding RNA, 482 nt
Filed under: Helianthus annuus (common sunflower)
Lineage: Eukaryota; Viridiplantae; Streptophyta; Magnoliopsida; Asterales; Asteraceae
Description: hypothetical non coding rna
Source: RNAcentral